GGGUAGCCAAGUACGGACGGGAUAAGCGCUGAAAGCAUCUAAGCGUGAAGCCCCCCUCAAGAUGAGAUUUCCCAAUUCGUAAGACCCCUUGAAGACGACGAGGUUGAUAGGUUCGGGGUGGAAGCACGGCAACGUGUGGAGCUGACGAAUACUAAUCGGUCGAGGGCUUAUCCUAAAUAACCCCA
RNAcentral lists this ribosomal RNA (185 nucleotides) under Paenibacillus nanensis. RNAcentral's name for it is "partial 23S ribosomal RNA". It matches the Rfam family "Bacterial large subunit ribosomal RNA", at positions 2743 to 2925 of the family's 2925-position model. The record is from RNAcentral. Lineage: Bacteria; Bacillati; Bacillota; Bacilli; Caryophanales; Paenibacillaceae.